CAGUCGCCGCGGGAAUACGGAGGGGGCUAGCGUUGUUCGGAAUUACUGGGCGUAAAGCGUACGUAGGCGGCUUGGUAAGUUAGAGGUGAAAGCCUGGAGCUCAACUCCAGAAUUGCCUUUAAGACUGCCGAGCUAGCAGGUGAGAGAGGUAAGUGGAAUUCCGAGUGUAGAGGUGAAAUUCGUAGAUAUUCGGAAGAACACCAGUGGCGAAGGCGGCUUACUGGCUCAUACUGGACGCUGAGGUGCGAAAGCGUGGGGAGCAAACAGGAUUAGAUACCCCGGUAGUCCCUGUCUCUUAUAC
This 301-nucleotide ribosomal RNA is filed under the name uncultured bacterium. RNAcentral's name for it is "partial 16S ribosomal RNA". It matches the Rfam family "Bacterial small subunit ribosomal RNA", at positions 509 to 807 of the family's 1533-position model. The record is from RNAcentral.